Molecule: ribosomal RNA, 497 nt
Filed under: uncultured bacterium
Lineage: Bacteria
Description: partial 16S ribosomal RNA
Rfam family: Bacterial small subunit ribosomal RNA
Source: RNAcentral
GAUGAACGCUGGCGGCGUGCCUAAUACAUGCAAGUCGAGCGAACAGACGAGGAGCUUGCUCCUCUGACGUUAGCGGCGGACGGGUGAGUAACACGUGGAUAACCUACCUAUAAGACUGGGAUAACUUUGGGAAACCGGAGCUAAUACCGGAUAAUAUAUUGAACCGCAUGGUUCAAUAGUGAAAGACGGUUUUGCUGUCACUUAUAGAUGGAUCCGCGCCGCAUUAGCUAGUUGGUAAGGUAACGGCUUACCAAGGCGACGAUGCGUAGCCGACCUGAGAGGGUGAUCGGCCACACUGGAACUGAGACACGGUCCAGACUCCUACGGGAGGCAGCAGUAGGGAAUCUUCCGCAAGGGGCGAAAGCCUGACGGAGCAACGCCGCGUGAGUGAUGAAGGUCUUCGGAUCGUAAAACUCUGUUAUUAGGGAAGAACAAAUGUGUAAGUAACUAUGCACGUCUUGACGGUACCUAAUCAGAAAGCCACGGCUAACUACGUG